This is a long non-coding RNA of Dioscorea cayenensis subsp. rotundata (Guinea yam), 1402 nucleotides long. RefSeq lists it as uncharacterized. Lineage: Eukaryota; Viridiplantae; Streptophyta; Magnoliopsida; Dioscoreales; Dioscoreaceae. The record is from RefSeq and is a predicted model, not a curated record. The transcript is spliced from 3 exons.
ACUACAAUAAAAAUGGGCUGCGCCGACUAAAAUUAACAGCGAACCCAAUUAAGCCACCACCAUAAAUCCAAAGGGUUUUGAGGGCCACAAGACCCUCACCGCUCUGCCUUUCUUCUCACCAAUAUCCCUCUCCUCUGCCAUGGAUCUUCAUCUCCUUCCUCUCCUCCUCCACCUCCUCCUCUCCAUCCCUCAUUUGGCUCCAACAACCUCUCCAGCCCCUACUUCUUCUCCGAGUUGCAAUGGCAUCCUCCUCACCUACUCUCUCAAAGGCCACGACAUCAUCCGCCCCCACGUCUCCGACCCCAACUCCCAACCCUACUCCUACCGCGCCACCGCUACCAUCCUCAACUCUAACGAUCGUGACCUCCUUGUCUUGGCCCUUCCUCAUCUCUUUCCUCCACCGCGAGCUCCUCGUCUCUUCCAUUUCUGGCAUUCUUACUGAUGGCUCCACCUUCCCUUAUUCAAUCCCUCAAGACUUCCCCACCUCCUUCUCCAACUUUCCCAACACAGAUCUCAAAACCCUCAUUGAAACUGCCAUCGAUCUCACCCAGAUCCAGACCUCCAUUUCCAUCGUCAGCACUCUCUUUGGCUCUCUACCCUUGGCGAUCCUUCUUCCUUCCAAUCUCUCCCUCUCUGCCCUUUCUUACAGCAAUCCUACUCUUGAUUUUACCUUUAAUUCCAGCACCUCGAUCUCCUCGUGCUAUAUUAUUGCUAGUGCGGUAACAUUGCCUGACUUCAUCAAUGCAAAUAGGAAUCAAUUUUCAAGGUUAAGAGCAAGAUCCUCAGCCUCCGUGAUCUACGGGUUCUUGUCGACAUCUUCGGAAGCACAAUCAUUUCCAUAAGAUGCAGUUAUUGGAAACCAUCCUUUUGAAUGACUUCAAGGGUGCAGAAUAUGUACUUCUAGUAGAGCUACAAUUUGCUUUUGUAGCAUUUAUGGUAAAAUCAACUAAUAUAUCUCCAUCGCCAGCAGAAUUUUGGUCUGUGUAUUAUUGACUUAAAAAGUUUUAAAAGCUUGCCGAUCGGGCAAUCACUUCAAGCAUUUCUUCAACGGAAAACAUUACCUCUUCGAACAAGGAUUCAACUAUUUUCCAAGGUAAUUCUCUUUGUAAAUUCAUUUUUUUUAAUAUACUACUAUGCCAUAACUUUCUUGGUAUGAACUUCUUAGGUGUGAUGAUAUAUGGUACUGCAAUGAAUCUCAUCAAGGACAAAUACUAUAAUAAAUUCAUGUGUUGUGAUGUUCUUUUGUGUUAAAAAUUCCCUUUCCACCUUCAUUAAGGAUUAUUCUAAUCUUUUUUCCUCCAAACAACAACAUAUUUCAAUCAAGUCAGGUUUGUACAGUUUGAUAAGUGCUUGAAUAGACAUAUUUCUAUAUAUGUUUUACAUACAUUGAGUAUCAUUUUUA